GAUGAAGAACGUAGUGAAAUGCGAUACUUGGUGUGAAUUGCAGAAUCCCGUGAACCAUCGAGUCUUUGAACGCAAGUUGCGCCCGAAGCCAUUUGGUUGAGGGCACGUCUGCCUGGGCGUCACAUAUCGUUGCCCGAUGCCUAUUGCACUGUGAUAGGAAAUUCUAGGGCGAAAGAUGGCUUCCCGUGAGCGUUGUUGCCUCGCGGUUGGUUGAAUAUUGAGUCCUUGGUAGGGUGUGCCAUGAUAGAUGGUGGUCGAGUUUGCACGAGACCGAUCAUGUGUGCGCUCCCCAAAAUAUGGACUCUUUGACCCCACACGCGUCUUUUGACGCUCAUGACGAGACCUCAGGUCAGGCGGGGCUACCCGCUGAGUUUAAGCAUAUCAAUAAGCGGAGGA
Molecule: unclassified non-coding RNA, 396 nt
Filed under: soil metagenome
Description: partial contains 5.8S ribosomal RNA, internal transcribed spacer 2, and large subunit ribosomal RNA
Rfam family: 5.8S ribosomal RNA (bases 1-122)
Source: RNAcentral